GGGUUGUGAGGUUAAGCGACUAAGCGUACACGGUGGAUGCCCUGGCAGUCAGAGGCGAUGAAGGGCGUGCUAAUCUGCGAUAAGCGCCGGUAAGGUGAUAUGAACCGUUAUAACCGGCGAUACCCGAAUGGGGAAACCCAGUGUGAUUCGUCACACUAUCAUUAACUGAAUCCAUAGGUUAAUGAGGCGAACCGGGGGAACUGAAACAUCUAAGUACCCCGAGGAAAAGAAAUCAACCGAGAUUCCCCCAGUAGCGGCGAGCGAACGGGGAGGAGCCCAGAGCCUGAAUCAGCAUGUGUGUUAGUGGAAGCGUCUGGAAAGGCGCGCGAUACAGGGUGACAGCCCCGUACACAAAAGCGCAUGUGCUGUGAGCUCGAUGAGUAGGGCGGGACACGUGGUAUCCUGUCUGAAUAUGGGGGGACCAUCCUCCAAGGCUAAAUACUCCUGACUGACCGAUAGUGAACCAGUACCGUGAGGGAAAGGCGAAAAGAACCCCGGCGAGGGGAGUGAAAAAGAACCUGAAACCGUGUACGUACAAGCAGUGGGAGCACAGGUUUACCUGUGUGACUGCGUACCUUUUGUAUAAUGGGUCAGCGACUUAUAUUCUGUAGCAAGGUUAACCGUAUAGGGGAGCCGGAGGGAAACCGAGUCUUAACCGGGCGUUAAGUUGCAGGGUAUAGACCCGAAACCCGGUGAUCUAGCCAUGGGCAGGUUGAAGGUUGGGUAACACUAACUGGAGGACCGAACCGACUAAUGUUGAAAAAUUAGCGGAUGACCUGUGGCUGGGGGUGAAAGGCCAAUCAAACCGGGAGAUAGCUGGUUCUCCCCGAAAGCUAUUUAGGUAGCGCCUCGUGAAUUCAUCUCCGGGGGUAGAGCACUGUUUCGGCUAGGGGGCCAUCCCGGCUUACCAACCCGAUGCAAACUGCGAAUACCGGAGAAUGUUAUCACGGGAGACACACGGCGGGUGCUAACGUCCGUCGUGAAGAGGGAAACAACCCAGACCGCCAGCUAAGGUCCCAAAGUCAUGGUUAAGUGGGAAACGAUGUGGGAAGGCCCAGACAGCCAGGAUGUUGGCUUAGAAGCAGCCAUCAUUUAAAGAAAGCGUAAUAGCUCACUGGUCGAGUCGGCCUGCGCGGAAGAUGUAACGGGGCUAAACCAUGCACCGAAGCUGCGGCAGCGACACUGUGUGUUGUUGGGUAGGGGAGCGUUCUGUAAGCCUGCGAAGGUGGCCUGUGAGGGUUGCUGGAGGUAUCAGAAGUGCGAAUGCUGACAUAAGUAACGAUAAAGCGGGUGAAAAGCCCGCUCGCCGGAAGACCAAGGGUUCCUGUCCAACGUUAAUCGGGGCAGGGUGAGUCGACCCCUAAGGCGAGGCCGAAAGGCGUAGUCGAUGGGAAACGGGUUAAUAUUCCCGUACUUGGUGUUACUGCGAAGGGGGGACGGAGAAGGCUAUGUUGGCCGGGCGACGGUUGUCCCGGUUUAAGCGUGUAGGCUGGUUUUCCAGGCAAAUCCGGAAAAUCAAGGCUGAGGCGUGACGACGAGGCACUACGGUGCUGAAGCAACAAAUGCCCUGCUUCCAGGAAAAGCCUCUAAGCAUCAGGUAACAUCAAAUCGUACCCCAAACCGACACAGGUGGUCAGGUAGAGAAUACCAAGGCGCUUGAGAGAACUCGGGUGAAGGAACUAGGCAAAAUGGUGCCGUAACUUCGGGAGAAGGCACGCUGACACGUAGGUGAAGUGAUUUACUCAUGGAGCUGAAGUCAGUCGAAGAUACCAGCUGGCUGCAACUGUUUAUUAAAAACACAGCACUGUGCAAACACGAAAGUGGACGUAUACGGUGUGACGCCUGCCCGGUGCCGGAAGGUUAAUUGAUGGGGUCAGCGCAAGCGAAGCUCCUGAUCGAAGCCCCGGUAAACGGCGGCCGUAACUAUAACGGUCCUAAGGUAGCGAAAUUCCUUGUCGGGUAAGUUCCGACCUGCACGAAUGGCGUAAUGAUGGCCAGGCUGUCUCCACCCGAGACUCAGUGAAAUUGAACUCGCUGUGAAGAUGCAGUGUACCCGCGGCAAGACGGAAAGACCCCGUGAACCUUUACUAUAGCUUGACACUGAACAUUGAGCCUUGAUGUGUAGGAUAGGUGGGAGGCUUUGAAGUGUGGACGCCAGUCUGCGUGGAGCCGACCUUGAAAUACCACCCUUUAAUGUUUGAUGUUCUAACGUGGACCCGUAAUCCGGGUUGCGGACAGUGUCUGGUGGGUAGUUUGACUGGGGCGGUCUCCUCCUAAAGAGUAACGGAGGAGCACGAAGGUUGGCUAAUCCUGGUCGGACAUCAGGAGGUUAGUGCAAUGGCAUAAGCCAGCUUGACUGCGAGCGUGACGGCGCGAGCAGGUGCGAAAGCAGGUCAUAGUGAUCCGGUGGUUCUGAAUGGAAGGGCCAUCGCUCAACGGAUAAAAGGUACUCCGGGGAUAACAGGCUGAUACCGCCCAAGAGUUCAUAUCGACGGCGGUGUUUGGCACCUCGAUGUCGGCUCAUCACAUCCUGGGGCUGAAGUAGGUCCCAAGGGUAUGGCUGUUCGCCAUUUAAAGUGGUACGCGAGCUGGGUUUAGAACGUCGUGAGACAGUUCGGUCCCUAUCUGCCGUGGGCGCUGGAGAACUGAGGGGGGCUGCUCCUAGUACGAGAGGACCGGAGUGGACGCAUCACUGGUGUUCGGGUUGUCAUGCCAAUGGCACUGCCCGGUAGCUAAAUGCGGAAGAGAUAAGUGCUGAAAGCAUCUAAGCACGAAACUUGCCCCGAGAUGAGUUCUCCCUGAGACUUAGAGUCUCCUGAAGGAACGUUGAAGACGACGACGUUGAUAGGCCGGGUGUGUAAGCGCAGCGAUGCGUUGAGCUAACCGGUACUAAUGAACCGUGAGGCUUAACCUUACAACGCCGAAG
RNAcentral lists this ribosomal RNA (2926 nucleotides) under Salmonella enterica subsp. enterica serovar Bareilly str. CFSAN000233. RNAcentral's name for it is "bacterial LSU rRNA". It matches the Rfam family "Bacterial large subunit ribosomal RNA". The record is from RNAcentral. Lineage: Bacteria; Pseudomonadati; Pseudomonadota; Gammaproteobacteria; Enterobacterales; Enterobacteriaceae.